This 433-nucleotide ribosomal RNA is filed under the name uncultured bacterium. RNAcentral describes it as "partial 16S ribosomal RNA". It matches the Rfam family "Bacterial small subunit ribosomal RNA", at positions 29 to 507 of the family's 1533-position model. The record is from RNAcentral.
AACGAACGCUGGCGGCAGGCCUAACACAUGCAAGUCGAGCGGACCCUUCGGGGUUAGCGGCGGACGGGUGCGUAACGCGUGGGAAUAUGCCCUUCUCUACGGAAUAGUCCUGGGAAACUGGGGGUAAUACCGUAUACGCCCUUUGGGGGAAAGAUUUAUCGGGGAAGGAUUAGCCCGCGUUGGAUUAGGUAGUUGGUGGGGUAAUGGCCUACCAAGCCGACGAUCCAUAGCUGGUUUGAGAGGAUGAUCAGCCACACUGGGACUGAGACACGGCCCAGACUCCUACGGGAGGCAGCAGUGGGGAAUCUUAGACAAUGGGGGCAACCCUGAUCUAGCCAUGCCGCGUGAGUGAUGAAGGCCUUAGGGUUGUAAAGCUCUUUCAGCUGGGAAGAUAAUGACGGUACCAGCAGAAGAAGCCCCGGCUAACUCCGUG